RNAcentral lists this ribosomal RNA (452 nucleotides) under bacterium WTE2006. RNAcentral describes it as "bacterial SSU rRNA". It matches the Rfam family "Bacterial small subunit ribosomal RNA", at positions 28 to 480 of the family's 1533-position model. The record is from RNAcentral.
GAUGAACGCGGGCGGCGUGCUUAACACAUGCAAGUCGAACGAAGCACUUUAUUUGAAACCUUCGGGUAGAUUAUUCUGUGACUUAGUGGCGGACGGGUGAGUAACGCGUGGGUAACCUGCCUCAUACACCGGGAUAACAGUUGGAAACGGCUGCUAAUACCGGAUAAGCAUACAGUACCGCAUGGUACAGUGUGAAAAACUCAGGUGGUAUGAGAUGGACCCGCGUCUGAUUAGCUAGUUGGUAAGGUAACGGCUUACCAAGGCGACGAUCAGUAGCCGACUUGAGAGAGUGAUCGGCCACAUUGGGACUGAGACACGGCCCAAACUCCUACGGGAGGCAGCAGUGGGGAAUAUUGCACAAUGGGGGAAACCCUGAUGCAGCGACGCCGCGUGAAGGAUGAAGUAUUUCGGUAUGUAAACUUCUAUCAGCAAGGAAGAAAAUGACGGUACUG